AUACCUACGGGAGGCAGCAGUAGGGAAUAUUGCUCAAUGGGGGAAACCCUGAAGCAGCAACGCCGCGUGAAGGAAGAAGGCUCUCGGGUUGUAAACUUCUUUUAUCAGGGACGAAGCAAGUGACGGUACCUGAUGAAUAAGCCACGGCUAACUACGUGCCAGCAGCCGCGGUAAUACGUAGGUGGCAAGCGUUAUCCGGAUUUACUGGGUGUAAAGGGCGUGUAGGCGGGAAAGCAAGUCAGAUGUGAAAACCAUGGG
Molecule: ribosomal RNA, 258 nt
Filed under: uncultured bacterium
Lineage: Bacteria
Description: partial 16S ribosomal RNA
Rfam family: Bacterial small subunit ribosomal RNA
Source: RNAcentral